GUAGGGAAUAUUGCGCAAUGGGGGAAACCCUGACGCAGCGACGCCGCGUGAGUGAUGAAGGCCUUCGGGUCGUAAAGCUCUGUUGCAGGGGAAUAAAAAAAUGAAGGUACCCUGUGAGGAAGGAUCGGCUAACUUCGUGCCAGCAGCCGCGGUAAGACGAGUGAUCCUAGCGUUGCUCGGAAUCAUUGGGCGUAAAGAGGGCGUAGGUGGCUUGGUAAGUCAGGUGUGAAAGCCCAGGGCUCAACCCUGGAAGUGCAUUUGAUACUGCUGAGCUUGAGUGUCGGAGAGGUUACCGGAAUACCUGGUGUAGUGGUGAAAUACGUAGAUAUCAGGUGGAACACCGGAGGCGAAGGCGGGUAACUGGACGAACACUGACACUGAGGCCCGAAAGCGUGGGGAUCAAACAGGAUUAGAAACCCUAGUAGUCC
This 428-nucleotide ribosomal RNA is filed under the name uncultured bacterium. RNAcentral describes it as "partial 16S ribosomal RNA". It matches the Rfam family "Bacterial small subunit ribosomal RNA", at positions 354 to 796 of the family's 1533-position model. The record is from RNAcentral.